Molecule: small nuclear RNA, 107 nt
Organism: Myotis lucifugus (little brown bat)
Lineage: Eukaryota; Metazoa; Chordata; Mammalia; Chiroptera; Vespertilionidae
Source: Ensembl
GUGCUCACUUCAGCUGCACAUACACUAAGACUGGAACAAUACAGAGAAGAUUAGCAUGGCACCUGUGCAAGGAUGACAUGCAAAUUAGUGAAAUGUUCCAUAUUUAA